GAAGCUUCCAGCAGGAACACGGCCCUGCCAGCACACUGAAUUUAGACUUUCUACCUCUACAACUGUGAAGAGAAUAAUCUGUAUUGUUUUAAGCCACUAAAUUUGUGACAAUUUAUUACAACAGCAAGGGAAACUCAUAUACCUGGGGAUGUUUCAAGUCAGAGGAAGGGAUAUUUACCUCCCAGGAGGAAGGUAGGGCUUCCUGAGUGGUGGUGAUCACAGGUGUGCAGUGACCGACACCUUCAGAGCCACAGAGAGGCCAGAUGUUGGAAACAGUGCUCAGAGAAGGGACAAGAGCACCCAGAACCUUUGCUUAGGGAGCAGGAGCAGACCCAUUGUGGGUGCCCACAGUGGUCUCGAACUCCUGGACUCAAGUGAUUGGCCCGCCUCGGCCUCCCAAAGUGCUGGGAUUACAGGUGCAAGCCAUGGCGCCCAGCAAGACAGAUUCUUAAUAAAGUAAAACAAAGCCUUACUCUAAAGCCCGGCAAUUCCACUCCUAGAAAUUUACCAAAGAGAAAUGAAAACAAAUAUCUACACAAAAGAUCCAAAUGUGAAGCCACCCUCGAAAUGAAAAGUGGUGUCCAGCUCAGGCCCCUUGUCUCUCCAUCUGAGGACUCGGGCCUGCCGUGAGAAAG
Molecule: long non-coding RNA, 635 nt
Filed under: Homo sapiens (human)
Lineage: Eukaryota; Metazoa; Chordata; Mammalia; Primates; Hominidae
Description: non-protein coding lnc-PHACTR1-2:1
Source: RNAcentral